RNAcentral lists this transfer RNA (72 nucleotides) under Chloroflexota bacterium. Its description in RNAcentral is "Chloroflexi bacterium (groundwater metagenome) tRNA-Gly". It matches the Rfam family "tRNA". From Rfam's summary of the family: Transfer RNA (tRNA) molecules are approximately 80 nucleotides in length. Their secondary structure includes four short double-helical elements and three loops (D, anti-codon, and T loops). Further hydrogen bonds mediate the characteristic L-shaped molecular structure. tRNAs have two regions of fundamental functional importance: the anti-codon, which is responsible for specific mRNA codon recognition, and the 3' end, to which the tRNAs corresponding amino acid is attached (by aminoacyl-tRNA synthetases). tRNAs cope with the degeneracy of the genetic code in two manners: having more than one tRNA (with a specific anti-codon) for a particular amino acid; and 'wobble' base-pairing, i.e. permitting non-standard base-pairing at the 3rd anti-codon position. The record is from RNAcentral. Lineage: Bacteria; Bacillati; Chloroflexota.
GCGGGAGUAAUUCAGUGGUAGAAUGCAUCCCUUCCAAGGAUGACGCCGCGAGUUCGAAUCUCGUCUCCCGCU